Molecule: RNA transcript, 2093 nt
Organism: Vicia villosa (hairy vetch)
Lineage: Eukaryota; Viridiplantae; Streptophyta; Magnoliopsida; Fabales; Fabaceae
Gene name: elongator complex protein 2-like
Exons: 10
Source: RefSeq, a predicted model, not a curated record
GUUAAAGAAUUAUGUUCAAUAAUUUAUCAACCAUUUUUCUCUCUGAACAAAAUAUUAACCAAACCCAACGAAACCCAUUAUGCAUGUAUUUCACGGAACUCAGCGAAACCCAGCGAAACCCAUUUUUCAAUCCACUCUCUGAACAAUCAACGAAACCCAACGAAACUCAGCAAUGGUGACGACAACGAAGCUCUCAGUUCCUUUCACGAAGCUAAUGCUUGUACUAUUAGCAUGUUGAGAACUUUGUCCGCUACAUUUACCAGAGAAGAGGAAGACUCUCGUUGACUUGUUCCAUUUCAAAAGUCCACAACUAUGGUACAGUUGAUUUUGAGCGAAGACCUUCUAGUAAAUGGGGUGUUCUUUACAAGAGAAUCUCGAUGAUGAAAAACCCUGAAUUGGGUUCUGCUUCUGUCCUGUGUUGAAUCAGUGGGAGAAUGAAGGUAAACCUCUUACAAAAUAGGAUCUUUGUAGAAUUGCCAAGGAGUUGAGAAAGUAUAUAAGACAUGACAAAGCUCUUCAGAUAUUUGAAUGGAUAAACAACCGACCAGGGAGGUUUAGAAUGUCUGCAAGUGACGUUGCGAUUCAGUUAGAUUUAGUCUCAAGAGCUCACGGAGUUUCAAGAGCAGAAGGAUUUUUUCUGAACCUGACUAAUGUUUCAAUGUGGUUAUAGAUGUAUUCAAUGUAUUAUUAUAAUCGAUUUAAUACUUCACAAACCCAAGGCCUAUAGACAUCUCCUUUACAAUGUCAUUAAUCAAGAAACCUUGAAGUUUCAGGGACUGUUUGGAAAUUGGCUGCCAUUUUUCUUCUUUUUGAUGCAUACAGAUAUUUGAUCUUGGAAAGUAGAAAAAGUAAAUCGAGUUCAUCAAUGAGCUACUCCUCACUAGUGUCAAUGUGUUGCAAAGUGAUGAUGGAUGUCUUCUUUGGAAACUUUAUGUUUCUUUUAACCUUCUUCUUUAUGGUCAAGAUGUUUCUUCAUAUAUCUAUCAGUGUCUCCAGAUAACGAGGCCGAUGGACAGGAGCAGUCAGAAUCACAGUUGCAGCCUAUAUCUGGAAAUGGAAUUUCUCAUGCUGGUAUUGAUACUCAGGUUGUUCAGUAUGGACCACCUCCACAACUUGGCCCUGGACAUGCUACGGUAAUUGAAGACCCAGUCAUUAUUAUUAGAUUAAUUGAUAAUGUGAUACGGUGGUGACGUCAUAAGGCAAACUUGAAUGGUUAUCUCUCCUAUCAAACUGGCCAAAGCUUAGAUAAGAUAAUUGUUUUCUUGGUUCUAGUUUUUUUGUGCCUUAAAGUUUGAAAAGAAUUAGUGAAUUUCUACUUUUAAGGGCGAGCUUGUUGCUUCUUCAUGUAAGGCCCAAUCUACUGCUGUGGCAGAGGUAUGGCUUUGGCAGGUUGGUUCAUGGAAAGCAGUUGGUCGCUUGCAAUCUCACAGUUUAACAGUAACACAGAUGGAAUUCUCACACGAUGACCACUUUCUUUUGACUGUCUCAAGGGAUCGUCAGUUCUCCAUUUUUACAAUCACAAGAACAGGAAGCGGUGAAAUCAGUUAUAGUCUUCUCACAAGGCAGGAAGGACACAAGCGGAUUAUCUGGUCAUGUUCUUGGAACCCACACGGCCAUGAAUUUGCAACAGGUUCACGUGACAAAAUAGUGAAAAUCUGGGCCGUAGAAAAGGAAUCAUCAUCAGUAAAGCAGCUGAUGACUUUACCUCAAUUGACAAGUAGUGUGACAGCAUUAUCUUGGGCUGGUCUCCCUCAUCGAAGAAACAAUGGAGUUCUAGCCGUUGGAAUGGAAAACGGACAAAUAGAAUUAUGGAAUCUGUCCUAUAACAGACAAGACAAUGCACCGGGUUCCGCCGCCGCUCUUCUUGUUCGUGUUGAUCCUUUUAAAUGCCAUGCCUCUACCGUAAACCAACCGUCUGGCAUGGAGAGAAAAUGAGGAAGAUAACAAGAGUUUGCAACUUGCUUCUUGUGGAGCUGAUAAUUGUGUAAGAGUGUUCGAUGUAACUGUUGAGUAAUUAGAUUAUUCUUUCCCAUCUUUUUUGAUAUAUCUAUGGAUUAUUAUUAUCACAUGAUUUUGAAACUAUUUUUAGGUGA